CCUACGGGAGGCUGCAGUGGGGAAUAUUGGACAAUGGGGGGAACCCUGAUCCAGCCAUGCCGCGUGUGUGAAGAAGGCCCUCGGGUUGUAAAGCACUUUCAGUGAGGAAGAACGCCUGGUGGUUAAUACCCAUCAGGAAAGACAUCACUCACAGAAGAAGCACCGGCUAACUCCGUGCCAGCAGCCGCGGUAAUACGGAGGGUGCGAGCGUUAAUCGGAAUUACUGGGCGUAAAGCGCGCGUAGGUGGCUUGAUAAGCCGGUUGUGAAAGCCCCGGGCUCAACCUGGGAACGGCAUCCGGAACUGUCAAGCUAGAGUGCAGGAGAGGAAGGUAGAAUUCCCGGUGUAGCGGUGAAAUGCGUAGAGCUCGGGAGGAAUACCAGUGGCGAAGGCGGCCUUCUGGACUGACACUGACACUGAGGUGCGAAAGCGUGGGUAGCAAACAGGAUUAGAUACCCGAGUAGUC
Molecule: ribosomal RNA, 465 nt
Filed under: Vreelandella stevensii
Lineage: Bacteria; Pseudomonadati; Pseudomonadota; Gammaproteobacteria; Oceanospirillales; Halomonadaceae
Description: partial 16S ribosomal RNA
Rfam family: Bacterial small subunit ribosomal RNA
Source: RNAcentral